RNAcentral lists this non-coding RNA (142 nucleotides) under Saccoglossus kowalevskii. The record is from RNAcentral. Lineage: Eukaryota; Metazoa; Hemichordata; Enteropneusta; Harrimaniidae.
CCCUACCGAUAGCAUGUACCUUGACGUGGUGGUAGGGCAACUAAUUGAUCGCUUCCCACAGAACCAUAUCCGUUGCUUGACAUAUUAUUAAAAAGUAAUAAUUCGCCUUUUGAUGGGAAACGAUCGAUUAGACUAAACAUGC